This 471-nucleotide ribosomal RNA is filed under the name uncultured bacterium. RNAcentral describes it as "bacterial SSU rRNA". It matches the Rfam family "Bacterial small subunit ribosomal RNA", at positions 30 to 486 of the family's 1533-position model. The record is from RNAcentral.
AUUGAACGCUGGCGGCAUGCCUUACACAUGCAAGUCGAACGGUAACAGCACUUCGGUGGCUGACGAGUGGCGAACGGGUGAGUAAUACAUCGGAACGUGCCCGAGAGUGGGGGAUAACGCAGCGAAAGCUGUGCUAAUACCGCAUACGAUCUACGGAUGAAAGCAGGGGAUUCGCAAGGACCUUGCGCUCAUGGAGCGGCCGAUGGCAGAUUAGGUAGUUGGUGGGAUAAAAGCUUACCAAGCCGACGAUCUGUAGCUGGUCUGAGAGGACGACCAGCCACACUGGGACUGAGACACGGCCCAGACUCCUACGGGAGGCAGCAGUGGGGAAUUUUGGACAAUGGGCGAAAGCCUGAUCCAGCCAUGCCGCGUGCAGGAUGAAGGCCUUCGGGUUGUAACGUAGCUUUGUUACGGUAACGAAAAGGAAUACUCUUCUAAUAAAGGGGUACCGAAGUGACGGUACCGUAAGAA